This 489-nucleotide ribosomal RNA is filed under the name uncultured bacterium. RNAcentral's name for it is "partial 16S ribosomal RNA". It matches the Rfam family "Bacterial small subunit ribosomal RNA", at positions 30 to 507 of the family's 1533-position model. The record is from RNAcentral.
UUGAACGCUGGCGGCAGGCCUCACACAUGCAAGUCGAACGGUAACAGGAAGCAGCUUGCUGCUUCGCUGACGAGUGGCGGACGGGUGAGUAAUGUCUGGGAAACUGCCUGAUGGAGGGGGAUAACUACUGGAAACGGUAGCUAAUACCGCAUAACGUCGCUAGACCAAAGAGGGGGACCUUAGGGCCUCUUGCCAUCGGAUGUGCCCAGAUGGGAUUAGCUAGUAGGUGGGGUAACGGCUCACCUAGGCGACGAUCCCUAGCUGGUCUGAGAGGAUGACCAGCCACACUGGAACUGAGACACGGUCCAGACUCCUACGGGAGGCAGCAGUGGGGAAUAUUGCACAAUGGGCGCAAGCCUGAUGCAGCCAUGCCGCGUGUAUGAAGAAGGCCUUCGGGUUGUAAAGUACUUUCAGCGGGGAGGAAGGGAGUAAAGUUAAUACCUUUGCUCAUUGACGUUACCCGCAGAAGAAGCACCGGCUAACUCCGUG